GAUGAACGCUGGCGGCGUGCUUAACACAUGCAAGUCGAACGGAAAGGCCCAAGCUUGCUUGGGUACUCGAGUGGCGAACGGGUGAGUAACACGUGGGUGUUCUGCCCUGCACUUCGGGAUAAGCCUGGGAAACUGGGUCUAAUACCGGAUAGGACCACUUCUUGGAUGUUGUGGUGGAAAGUUUUUCGGUGUGGGAUGAGCUCGCGGCCUAUCAGCUUGUUGGUGGGGUAAUGGCCUACCAAGGCGUCGACGGGUAGCCGGCCUGAGAGGGUGUACGGCCACAUUGGGACUGAGAUACGGCCCAGACUCCUACGGGAGGCAGCAGUGGGGAAUAUUGCACAAUGGGCGCAAGCCUGAUGCAGCGACGCCGCGUGGGGGAUGACGGCCUUCGGGUUGUAAACUCCUUUCGCUAGGGACGAAGCUUAUUUUGUGACGGUACCUGGAGAAGAAGCACCGGCUAACUACGUG
RNAcentral lists this ribosomal RNA (468 nucleotides) under uncultured bacterium. RNAcentral's name for it is "partial 16S ribosomal RNA". It matches the Rfam family "Bacterial small subunit ribosomal RNA", at positions 28 to 507 of the family's 1533-position model. The record is from RNAcentral.